Long non-coding RNA from Zingiber officinale, 618 nucleotides. RefSeq lists it as uncharacterized. The record is from RefSeq and is a predicted model, not a curated record. NCBI's taxonomy places the organism in Eukaryota, Viridiplantae, Streptophyta, Magnoliopsida, Zingiberales, Zingiberaceae. The transcript has 2 exons.
UUGGCAUUUGUGCUAAUUAAGUAAAGGGUCUCAUUAAGUUUAUUUAUCUUCCUUAUCUUUGAAGAGCUUAAUGCUGGAUAUUUCAACCUCUUUGCCAACUUGUUUAGACUUGUGCGAGUUCCUAAAGCACCCUUCAGCUUCUAGCUCAAGAACACUGAAGUGUCUUGCGUACAAGUAAGUUCUAGAGGCGAAACAGCUUCACUCGAAGAAGGAAAAGCAGAUUUCGAGCUCUCAUUUGGGGAAGAGUUGCUGCACAAGAAGAUGACAGCCAAUGAGACUGCAGAUGAGGAACCAGAAGAUGCACAGCAAAAGGAUGAAGAAGAGAUGGAGAUCGAUGCUCAAUACAUGUCUGAAUGAUGGUCCGUGUCCAGGAUUGAUGUGAUAUUGGUUCAAGCGGCUCAAUCAGUGAUGAAUUCUCUUGUUAAUUUUCUCUUCUUUCUUUUUAUUUAUGUUUAGUUUUCUUUCUCUCGUAGCUGAGAUCAUGGCUUGUACUUGUGUUCUUUCUUCGUAAGUCCCCAACUGUUCUUGCCUUUGGAGUCUUUCAUGGGUUAAACUUUAAGCUCUCGCGUGAUUGAAGUGCCUACUGCUGCUAAUACAUUCGUCCGCUAUUGGUUGAUA